This 288-nucleotide long non-coding RNA is filed under the name Lathyrus oleraceus (garden pea). RNAcentral describes it as "Pisum sativum (pea) long non-coding RNA (PSAT_LNC020613)". Lineage: Eukaryota; Viridiplantae; Streptophyta; Magnoliopsida; Fabales; Fabaceae. The record is from RNAcentral.
AUCGGAUCCAAGAAGAUUUAACAUCAUCCAGGACACUUUGUGGGCUCUAUUUAGAUGAUCAGUCAACACAAGGGAAAUACUUGAGUUACUUCCAACAGGGGUCUAUUCGUCAGUCAAAACGUUAAUCUUGGAGGAGCAAAGGUUUGUUAAUGAGCUGUCAUGCUCGAUAGGCGAAGCCCACGGGUUUUGAAAAAAAAACGAAAUAAAUAAAUAAUAAUAAUAAUAAUUAAAUUAAAUAAAUAAAUAAUUAAAUAAAUAAAUAAAUAUAAGAAAAAAUCUUGGACUUGG